Molecule: ribosomal RNA, 447 nt
Filed under: uncultured bacterium
Lineage: Bacteria
Description: bacterial SSU rRNA
Rfam family: Bacterial small subunit ribosomal RNA
Source: RNAcentral
CCCAGACUCCUACGGGAGGCAGCAGUGGGGAAUAUUGCACAAUGGGGGGAACCCUGAUGCAGCGACGCCGCGUGGGUGAAGGAGUACUUCGGUACGUAAAGCCCUAUCAGCAGGAAAGAAAAUGACGGUACCUGACUAAGAAGCCCCGGCUAACUACGUGCCAGCAGCCGCGGUAAUACGUAGGGGGCAAGCGUUAUCCGGAUUUACUGGGUGUAAAGGGAGCGUAGACGGCAGUGCAAGUCCGGAGUGAAAGCCCGGGGCUCAACCCUGGGACUGCUCUGGAAACUGUAAAGCUGGAGUGCGGGAGGGGCAGGCGGAAUUCCUGGUGUAGCGGUGAAAUGCGUAGAUAUCAGGAGGAACACCGGCGGCGAAGGCGGCCUGCUGGACCGUAACUGACGUUGAGGCUCGAAAGCGUGGGGAGCAAACAGGAUUAGAUACCCGGGUAUU